Molecule: unclassified non-coding RNA, 18 nt
Filed under: Chlamydomonas reinhardtii
Lineage: Eukaryota; Viridiplantae; Chlorophyta; Chlorophyceae; Chlamydomonadales; Chlamydomonadaceae
Description: small RNA Cre_2507
Source: RNAcentral
UCAGGUAUAGCAGCGGCU